ACACGUAGGGGCCUGACGUUGUUCGGAAUCAUUGGGCGUAAAGGGCGCGCAGGCGGCCGUCCAAGUCCGGUGUUAAAUGGUCGGGCUCAACCCGAUCAUGCGCUGGAAACUGGGCGGCUUGAGUCCCGUAGGGGAUGCCGGAAUUCCAGGUGUAGGGGUGAAAUCUGUAGAUAUCUGGAAGAACACCGAUGGCGAAGGCAGGCAUCUGGCCGGAGACUGACGCUGAGGCGCGAAGGCGCGGGGAGCGAACAGGUUUAGAUACCCUGGUAGUCCGCGCAGUAAACGAUGCGCACCAGGUGUCGGGCGGCAGCGCCCGGUACCGGAGCUAACGCGAUGAGUGCGCCGCCUGGGGAGUAUGCCCGCAAGGGUGAAACUCAAAGGAAUUGGCGGG
Molecule: ribosomal RNA, 391 nt
Filed under: uncultured bacterium
Lineage: Bacteria
Description: partial 16S ribosomal RNA
Rfam family: Bacterial small subunit ribosomal RNA
Source: RNAcentral